ACUGCAGUCAAGUAGAAGAGAAGAAUCAGAUUGUACAAAUCCUGUUGGGUUCUGCUAUUGAGAACGCUCGGUUUAGAGGAGAACUGAAACAGGAUAUGGAGAAUAUACAGAUUCAGUUGACGGAGUUAAGAAGAGAGCUAGAGGAGAAAAGGAGAGAAUUUGAAGAAAAAAGAAAAAAGGUUUCACAGUUA
Molecule: long non-coding RNA, 191 nt
Organism: Eurytemora carolleeae
Lineage: Eukaryota; Metazoa; Arthropoda; Copepoda; Calanoida; Temoridae
Exons: 4
Source: RefSeq, a predicted model, not a curated record